UAUAUAUAUAUAUAUAUAUAUAUAUGACUGGAUAGCUCAAUAGAUAAGGCAUCAGUAUAUCACCCGAGAGGGCAGGGGUUCGAAUCCAGUCUGGCUCAGAGAUGCUCUAAGAUGCUUAG
Long non-coding RNA from Xiphophorus couchianus (Monterrey platyfish), 119 nucleotides. RefSeq lists it as uncharacterized. The transcript is spliced from 4 exons. The record is from RefSeq and is a predicted model, not a curated record. NCBI's taxonomy places the organism in Eukaryota, Metazoa, Chordata, Actinopteri, Cyprinodontiformes, Poeciliidae.